UCCUACGGGAGGCAGCAGUGGGGAAUAUUGCACAAUGGGCGAAAGCCUGAUGCAGCAACGCCGCGUGAGUGAUGAAGGUCUUCGGAUUGUAAAGCUCUGUCUUUUGGGACGAUAAUGACGGUACCAAAGGAGGAAGCCACGGCUAACUACGUGCCAGCAGCCGCGGUAAUACGUAGGUGGCGAGCGUUGUCCGGAUUUACUGGGCGUAAAGGGUGCGUAGGCGGAUGUUUAAGUGAGAUGUGAAAUACCCGGGCUUAACUUGGGUGCUGCAUUUCAAACUGGAUAUCUAGAGUGCAGGAGAGGAGAAUGGAAUUCCUAGUGUAGCGGUGAAAUGCGUAGAGAUUAGGAAGAACACCAGUGGUGAAGGCGAUUCUCUGGACUGUGACUGACGCUAAAUCACGAAACCAUGGGUAACAAACAGGACUAGAUACCCUGGUAGGCCGCGCCGUAAACGAUGAGUACUAGGUGUAGGAGGUAUCGACCCCUUCUGUGCCGCAGUAAACACAUUAAGUACUCCGCCUGGGAAGUACGAUCGCAAGAUUAAAACUCAAAUGAAUUGACGG
Molecule: ribosomal RNA, 563 nt
Filed under: uncultured bacterium
Lineage: Bacteria
Description: bacterial SSU rRNA
Rfam family: Bacterial small subunit ribosomal RNA
Source: RNAcentral